Non-coding RNA from Artomyces pyxidatus, 85 nucleotides. The record is from the annotation of a GenBank genome assembly. Lineage: Eukaryota; Fungi; Basidiomycota; Agaricomycetes; Russulales; Auriscalpiaceae.
GGUCUUGUAGUGUAGUGGUUUAGCACCCGAGGUUUUGAUCUGUCGAGACAUCCUCGUGACCCAGGUUCGAACCCUGGCAAGACCU